AGCGGCUCCCGGUGGCGGGUCCCCCCGGGGCGCGCAGAGCGGGACGGUCGGGGAGUCAGCGCGGAAAGGGUUUGCAGCCCGCGGCCCCUGUGAUUGCGGCUGGCGGCUCGCUCCACGGCUCCCCCGGCGCUCCUCGGCUUCCCUUCGGCGGCUCGCGUCCCGGAGUAGAGAGGUAGGGGCGGUGAUGAGUUGUCUCAGCCGAUCACGGAGCGGGUGGCUUCCUCUCUCCGUGGCACGGGUCCGGUUUCCUCUCUCCCGGAGACGUGCAGCAGCAGCAGUAAAGGACUUCAGGACUCGAUUCUGUCUAGAAACAAAUGAUGAAGUCACAAGGGAGGGUUCCUCCUGAGGCAGCUGCUCCCUGGACAACAGCAGACCACAUACGGGAACCGAGACACAGAGUCACACAAGAAGUUUGUGUCACGGCCGGGAAUGGAGCCCAGCUCUCCCUCAGGGCCGAGGCUCGCUCCUCAGCUACCACACAGUCCUUCUCCAAACCCUGCAACUCAACUCAUCUCUAGUGGAGUCUAUGAAGAUUCAGGUAGCGUUGCUGUGCUGUUUAAAGGCUGCCACCCUGCACUGCAGGAGUGGAACCCUGGAACUGUGGCUACAUUUCGUGGAUGGUUGAAACGAUCGCUCUGUGAAUGAAGGCCAAAUCAGUGGAGUUGCACUAGUGUAACCGACAUAUCCAGGUUAACAAGCUGUCAUAAAUAUAAAGGGAAGGGUAACCACCUUUCUGUAUACAGAACUAUAAAAUCCCUCCUGGCCAGAGUCAAAACUCUUUCACCUGUAAAG
This is a long non-coding RNA of Dermochelys coriacea (leatherback sea turtle), 792 nucleotides long. RefSeq lists it as uncharacterized. The transcript has 5 exons. NCBI's taxonomy places the organism in Eukaryota, Metazoa, Chordata, Testudines, Dermochelyidae. The record is from RefSeq and is a predicted model, not a curated record.